UACGUAGGUGACAAGCGUUGUCCGGAUUUACUGGGCGUAAAGAGCGCGCAGGCGGUCGUUCAAGUCGAGUGUGAAAGCCCCCGGCUCAACUGGGGAGGGUCAUUCGAUACUGAUCGACUCGAAGGCAGGAGAGGGUAGUGGAAUUCCCGGUGUAGUGGUGAAAUGCGUAGAUAUCGGGAGGAACACCAGUGGCGAAGGCGACUACCUGGGCUGUUCUUGACGCUGAGGCGCGAAAGCUAGGGGAGCAAACGGG
Molecule: ribosomal RNA, 253 nt
Filed under: uncultured bacterium
Lineage: Bacteria
Description: partial 16S ribosomal RNA
Rfam family: Bacterial small subunit ribosomal RNA
Source: RNAcentral